CCUACGGGGGGCUGCAGUCGAGGAUCUUCGUCAAUGGGCGAAAGCCUGAACGAGCGAUGCCGCGUGUGCGAUGAAGGCCUUCGGGUUGUAAAGCACAAAAGUGAAAAGAUCGAUUCACAGUAAGCUCGGGCUAAGUUCGUGCCAGCAGCCGCGGUAAGACGAACCGAGCGAACGUUGUUCGGAAUCACUGGGCUUAAAGGGCGCGUAGGCGGGUGCUCAAGUCUGUGGUGAAAUCCUCCAGCUUAACUGGAGAAUUGCCAUGGAUACUGGGUGUCUCGAGGAAGAUAGGGGUAUGCGGAACGAUUGGUGGAGCGGUGAAAUGCGUUGAUAUCAAUCGGAACUCCGGUGGCGAAGGCGGCAUACUGGAUUUUCUGACGCUGAGGCGCGAAAGCCAGGGGAGCAAACGGGAUUAGAUACCCUUGUAGUC
This 427-nucleotide ribosomal RNA is filed under the name uncultured bacterium. RNAcentral describes it as "partial 16S ribosomal RNA". It matches the Rfam family "Bacterial small subunit ribosomal RNA", at positions 338 to 795 of the family's 1533-position model. The record is from RNAcentral.